This is a long non-coding RNA of Maniola jurtina (meadow brown), 276 nucleotides long. RefSeq lists it as uncharacterized. The record is from RefSeq and is a predicted model, not a curated record. Lineage: Eukaryota; Metazoa; Arthropoda; Insecta; Lepidoptera; Nymphalidae. The transcript has 3 exons.
CAACAUAGUGAUCCCAUAAUGGUUCCGUUUUUCCUUUUGAGGUACGGAACCCUAAAAAUCGGUAGUACUGAAUUUUUACUUUAAAUCAAGGCUAUUUAGGUCCAUUUUGCUUUGACGUCAGGGUGUUACGACGCUCGAAUUCAACAAAGUUGCUUUUAUAGACUGUUCUACGAAUUACCAUAAACCCUAUGCACAGAGAAAAGUUAACAUAGGGCUCUCUCUGUUACGUAAUCCCAUUCAAAUGACAAGGACAACAAUUUGUGUGCGUUCACCAUU